GCUGUUGCUCAGUGGGAGAGCAUCUGCUUUGCAUGGAGAAGGACCCAGGUUCAAUCCCCGACAUCUCCA
Non-coding RNA from Podarcis lilfordi (Lilford's wall lizard), 69 nucleotides. The record is from the annotation of a GenBank genome assembly. Lineage: Eukaryota; Metazoa; Chordata; Lepidosauria; Squamata; Lacertidae.